This 484-nucleotide ribosomal RNA is filed under the name uncultured bacterium. Its description in RNAcentral is "partial 16S ribosomal RNA". It matches the Rfam family "Bacterial small subunit ribosomal RNA", at positions 30 to 507 of the family's 1533-position model. The record is from RNAcentral.
AUUGAACGCUGGCGGCAGGCCUAACAUAUGCAAGUCGAGCGGAUGAAGGGAGCUUGCUCCUGGAUUCAGCGGCGGACGGGUGAGUAAUGCCUAGGAAUCUGCCUGGUAGUGGGGGAUAACGUCCGGAAACGGGCGCUAAUACCGCAUACGUCCUGAGGGAGAAAGUGGGGGAUCUUCGGACCUCACGCUAUCAGAUGAGCCUAGGUCGGAUUAGCUAGUUGGUGGGGUAAAGGCCUACCAAGGCGACGAUCCGUAACUGGUCUGAGAGGAUGAUCAGUCACACUGGAACUGAGACACGGUCCAGACUCCUACGGGAGGGAGCAGUGGGGAAUAUUGGACAAUGGGCGAAAGCCUGAUCCAGCCAUGGCGCGUGUGUGAAGAAGGUCUUCGGAUUGUAAAGCACUUUAAGUUGGGAGGAAGGGCAGUAAGUUAAUACCUUGCUGUUUUGACGUUACCAACAGAAUAAGCACCGGCUAACUUCGUG